GGGGAAUAUUCGCACAAUGGGCGCAAGCCUGAUGCAGCCAUGGCCGCGUGUAUGAAGAAGGCCUUCGGGUUGUAAAGUACUUUCAGCAGUGAGGAAGGUGGGUAUGUUAAUAGCAUAUUCAUUUGACGUUAGCUGCAGAAGAAGCACCGGCUAACUCCGUGCCAGCAGCCGCGGUAAUACGGAGGGUGCGAGCGUUAAUCGGAAUUACUGGGCGUAAAGCGCAUGCAGGUGGUUUGUUAAGUCAGAUGUGAAAGCCCGGGGCUCAACCUCGGAAUUGCAUUUGAAACUGGCAAACUAGAGUACUGUAGAGGGGGUAGAAUUUCAGGUGUAGCGGUGAAAUGCGUAGAGAUCUGAAGGAAUACCGGUGGCGAAGGCGGCCCCCUGGACAGAUACUGACACUCAGAUGCGAAAGCGUGGGGAGCAAACAGGAUUAGAUACCCUGGUG
Molecule: ribosomal RNA, 445 nt
Filed under: uncultured bacterium
Lineage: Bacteria
Description: bacterial SSU rRNA
Rfam family: Bacterial small subunit ribosomal RNA
Source: RNAcentral